This 406-nucleotide ribosomal RNA is filed under the name uncultured bacterium. RNAcentral describes it as "partial 16S ribosomal RNA". It matches the Rfam family "Bacterial small subunit ribosomal RNA", at positions 30 to 526 of the family's 1533-position model. The record is from RNAcentral.
AUUGAACGCUGGCGGCAGGCUUAACACAUGCAAGUCGAGCGAGCGGCGGACGGGUGAGUAAUGUCUGGGAAACUGCCUGAUGGGGGGGGAUAACUACUGGAAACGGUAGCUAAUACCGCAUACCAUCAGAUGUGCCCAGAUGGGAUUAGCUAGUAGGUGGGGUAAAGGCUCACCAAGCCGACGAUCUCUAGCUGGUCUGAGAGGAUGACGUGCCACACUGGGACUGAGAAACGGCCCAGACUCCUACGGGAGGCAGCGGUGGGGAAUAUUGCGCAAUGGGGGCAACCCUGACGCAGGCAUGCCGCGUGAAUGAGGAGGGCCUUCGGGUUGUAAAGUUCUUUCGGUAGCGAGGCGUUAACUAAAGAAAAAGCACCGGCUAACUCCGUGCCAGCAGCCGCGGUAAUAC